RNAcentral lists this ribosomal RNA (360 nucleotides) under uncultured rumen bacterium jw181RRI. Its description in RNAcentral is "bacterial SSU rRNA". It matches the Rfam family "Bacterial small subunit ribosomal RNA", at positions 546 to 897 of the family's 1533-position model. The record is from RNAcentral. Lineage: Bacteria; Pseudomonadati; Bacteroidota.
CGGAUUUAUUGGGGUUUAAAGGGGAGCCGCAGGCCGGGUGCUUAAAGCGUGCUGUGAAAUGUACCGGNUNCAACCCGGUGACAUGCCAGCGCGAACUGGGUNCCUUUGAGUGAGUGCGAGGUAUGCGGAAUUCGUGGUGUAGCGGUGAAAUGCUUAGAUAUCACGAAGAACCCCGAUUGCGAAGGCAGCGUACCAGUCCUUUACUGACGCUAAAGCUCGAAGGUGCGGGUAUCGAACAGGAUUAGAUACCCCUGGUAGUCCGCACGGUAAACGAUGGAUGCCCGCUGUCGGCGAUAGAAUGUCGGCGGCCAAGCGAAAGCGUUAAGCAUCCCCACCUGGGGAGUACGCCGGCAACGGUGA